RNAcentral lists this unclassified non-coding RNA (195 nucleotides) under uncultured Cantharellales. RNAcentral's name for it is "sequence contains ITS1". Lineage: Eukaryota; Fungi; Basidiomycota; Agaricomycetes; Cantharellales. The record is from RNAcentral.
AUGAAUUGUAAUGGGGCUUGAUGCUGGCCGCCAUCCUUUGGUUGCAUGUGCUCGCCCCCAGCAAUCCUUUUUCAAACACCUGUGCACCUUGUGACAAUGAGGGAAGGGGUUUCCCCGUUCCAUCUUGUCUCAUAAAUCCAUAAACGCUGCUUGUAAUGUUGAAUGCCCUUGUGCCGUUAAGGCCUUAACAUAAUA